CACGUGGUAUCCUGUCUGAAUAUGGGGGGACCAUCCUCCAAGGCUAAAUACUCCUGACUGACCGAUAGUGAACCAGUACCGUGAGGGAAAGGCGAAAAGAACCCCGGCGAGGGGAGUGAAAAAGAACCUGAAACCGUGUACGUACAAGCAGUGGGAGCACGCUUAGGCGUGUGACUGCGUACCUUUUGUAUAAUGGGUCAGCGACUUAUAUUCUGUAGCAAGGUUAACCGAAUAGGGGAGCCGAAGGGAAACCGAGUCUUAACUGGGCGUUAAGUUGCAGGGUAUAGACCCGAAACCCGGUGAUCUAGCCAUGGGCAGGUUGAAGGUUGGGUAACACUAACUGGAGGACCGAACCGACUAAUGUUGAAAAAUUAGCGGAUGACUUGUGGCUGGGGGUGAAAGGCCAAUCAAACCGGGAGAUAGCUGGUUCUCCCCGAAAGCUAUUUAGGUAGCGCCUCGUGAAUUCAUCUCCGGGGGUAGAGCACUGUUUCGGCAAGGGGGUCAUCCCGA
Molecule: ribosomal RNA, 510 nt
Filed under: Escherichia coli
Lineage: Bacteria; Pseudomonadati; Pseudomonadota; Gammaproteobacteria; Enterobacterales; Enterobacteriaceae
Description: partial 23S ribosomal RNA
Rfam family: Bacterial large subunit ribosomal RNA
Source: RNAcentral